This 72-nucleotide transfer RNA is filed under the name Aureococcus anophagefferens. It matches the Rfam family "tRNA". From Rfam's summary of the family: Transfer RNA (tRNA) molecules are approximately 80 nucleotides in length. The record is from Rfam by way of RNAcentral. Lineage: Eukaryota; Pelagophyceae; Pelagomonadales; Pelagomonadaceae.
GGGCUUGUGGUCUAGUGGUAGGAUUCCUGUUUUGGGUACAGGAGAUCUCGGGUUCGAACCCCGACUGGCCCC